GGCGGUAAUACGUAGGGCGCAAGCGUUGUCCGGAAUUAUUGGGCGUAAAGAGCUCGUAGGCGGCUUGUCACGUCGGGUGUGAAAGCCCGGGGCUUAACCCCGGGUCUGCAUUCGAUACGGGCUAGCUAGAGUGUGGUAGGGGAGAUCGGAAUUCCUGGUGUAGCGGUGAAAUGCGCAGAUAUCAGGAGGAACACCGGUGGCGAAGGCGGAUCUCUGGGCCAUUACUGACGCUGAGGAGCGAAAGCGUGGGGAGCGAACAGGAUUAGAUACCCUGGUAGUCCACGCCGUAAACGGUGGGAACUAGGUGUUGGCGACAUUCCACGUCGUCGGUGCCGCAGCUAACGCAUUAAGUUCCCCGCCUGGGGAGUACGGCCGCAAGGCUAAAACUCAAAGGAAUUGACGGGGGCCCGCACAAGCAGCGGAGCAUGUGGCUUAAUUCGACGCAACGCGAAGAACCUUACCAAGGCUUGACAUACACCGGAAAGCAUCAGAGAUGGUGCCCCCCUUGUGGUCGGUGUACAGGUGGUGCAUGGCUGUCGUCAGCU
Molecule: ribosomal RNA, 545 nt
Filed under: Streptomyces sp. ALT-7
Lineage: Bacteria; Bacillati; Actinomycetota; Actinomycetes; Kitasatosporales; Streptomycetaceae
Description: bacterial SSU rRNA
Rfam family: Bacterial small subunit ribosomal RNA
Source: RNAcentral